RNAcentral lists this ribosomal RNA (449 nucleotides) under uncultured bacterium. RNAcentral describes it as "partial 16S ribosomal RNA". It matches the Rfam family "Bacterial small subunit ribosomal RNA", at positions 29 to 523 of the family's 1533-position model. The record is from RNAcentral.
AGCGAACGCUGGCGGCAGGCCUAACACAUGCAAGUCGAACGGACCCUUCGGGGUUAGUGGCGGACGGGUGAGUAACACGUGGGAACGUGCCUUUAGGUUCGGAAUAGCUCCUGGAAACGGGUGGCAAUGCCGAAUGUGCCCUUCGGGGGAAGGAUUUAUCGCCUUUAGAGCGGCCCGCGUCUGAUUAGCUAGUUGGUGAGGUAAUGGCUCACCAAGGCGACGAUCAGUAGCUGGUCUGAGAGGAUGACCAGCCACACUGGGACUGAGACACGGCCCAGACUCCUACGGGAGGCAGCAGUGGGGAAUCUUGCGCAAUGGGCGAAAGCCUGACGCAGCCAUGCCGCGUGAAUGAUGAAGGUCUUAGGAUUGUAAAAUUCUUUCACCGGGGACGAUAAUGACGGUACCCGGAGAAGAAGCCCCGGCUAACUUCGUGCCAGCAGCCGCCGCAG